Molecule: ribosomal RNA, 1759 nt
Organism: Ovis aries (sheep)
Lineage: Eukaryota; Metazoa; Chordata; Mammalia; Artiodactyla; Bovidae
Rfam family: Eukaryotic small subunit ribosomal RNA
Source: Rfam
CAUCUUGCAUAUGCCUGUCUCUAAAGUUAAUCCACAGAGGUCUAGGCAUUUCCGCUGGUACCCCGACAUAGCGAAUGACUUUGAGUGCAGGUUUGGGUGCUACCUGCAGAACCAUGGUCAUUCUAGAACUCAUCCAUGCCCCUGGGCAUCUGCAGCUCAGCUCUGAUGAUUCUAGGUCACCAGGAGUGCAUGUCCUGUGGCCCCGUUAAGUUGUUGUGCCGACCAGGGCAAUUGGGAAUUGGGUGAUGGGGAACCCAGAUUUGGUUCCGUAGAGGAAGCCUGGUAAUGGACUACCCCAACCAAGGGGUAGCAGACUUGUUACUCUCAACCCAAGGGUGGGGAGGCAGUGAUGAAAAACAGAACUGGUCUCUGGAGGUCUGGUGAUUGGAAUGAGUCCACUUAAAAUUCUUUAAGGUGGAUCCACUGCAUGGCAUAUCUAGUACCUGCAGCUGAGGUGGUGGUGGUGUAGUUGCUAAGUUGUGUCCAACUCUUGUGACCCCAUGGACUGUACCAGCCUCCUCUGUCUCUGGAAUUCUCCAGGCAAGAAUACUGGAGUGGAUUGCCAUUUCCUUCCCCUAGGGCAUCUUCCUGACCCAGGGAUUGACCCUGGGUCUUUUCCAUUGCAGGCAGAUUGUUUGCUGACUGAGCUAUGAGGGACGCAGCGGAGGUAGUCUCCAGCUUCAAUGGCAGGGUGUUGAGUUCGGUGCAGUUAAAAUACCACGUGAUCUGCUGUGCAGGUUUAUGGAUGGGGAUCCUCCGCCCCUAUCCCCACACCCUGCUUCUCCUCGUCCUCCUGGCUCCUAGCCUGGUUUCCCUGGGCUGAAGUGCGGGAGCUGCCUGCACACUGCCGCUGGAAAUCAUGGCAUGGGACCGUGAUUCUGUUUCGUGUUGGAACUUUGCGGAGGCCAAUUACAUGCGAUGGCUGGGAAGUUCCCACUGCACCGCUAGAGCUCAAAGUCUUAGAUUGAUGCAAAACGGACCAGAGUGAAAGCUGUUGCCAUGGAUUUUUUUUAUUAAUUAAGGAUGAAGGUGUAAAAGGGAGGUUCAAAGAGAUUCUGAUCCCAUAUUGUCUCUCCAUAAACGAUGUCGACUGCCAGCGUUAUUUCCGGUAAUGUGCGGGUAGCUUACCGGAAAGCAAAGUCCUUCCGAUGAUGGUAGCGGCAGUGUCUGGUUCUAGAACUGAAAUUUAAAGGCACAGUGGUGCAAUCUGUGCUUUAUUUGAUACAAUUCAGAUAAUUCGACUCCAUGGAAACCAGGAUUGACACUUUUGAUAGCUUUUUCCUGGGUGGUGGUGAGUUGCUUUUCUGUCUUGCUGGAGAGAUUUGUCUGGUUUAUAGAUAACAGGGAGACUAGUGUGCUAACCAUAGGUUACCCUGAGGGCUUGUUAGCCUUAACUUCGACAAAUAUUGUUUAGCCGCCCAAGAUUGAGCAGUCACAAGUCUGUGAUGCUCUCAAGUGGCCAGAACCGCACCACACUGCUCAGCAUGUGUGCUUCCAGUCAGACGGGUGCUGGAGAUUUCAUUAUUAAAUCCGUUAGAGAUAGGCUCUGGGUUGCAGUUGUUACUCAUUAAUGAGGAAUUCCCUGUAAGAGAGUAGAUCAGAAGUUUGCAUCAAGUCCCUGCCCCUUGUUCACACUGCCCAUUGCCCCUCAACAUUCCCUCCUUGGGGUUGGUAUUUGGCCUUGGUGGUUCGCUGAGAAGCCGUUCUAAAUGAAAGUCACUACCAGGUUUUUGUAGGUGGCCCUGCGGAAGGACCACAU